GCCAGAUGCCAUGUGAGAUGCUAAGAACACGGUCUCACUCCUAGCCUAGAGAUCAACAAACAGGAUGGUUGUGAAGUGACAGUCUAUAUAAGCUGCUGGGGCUCCUGCAAUGUUCUCUGUUCCAGUUCUCUCUGCAGCCACCAGUAUGUAACAGUCCCAGGAUAAACAUGAGAGAAAUGAAGCUAAAAGUAUAAAGCCAUAUAUAUUGUAUAGCUCUGGGACAGUUUUUCAAAGCUUCCUGAGAGCUAGGAUCAUGACUCUACCUUUGAAUCAAG
Molecule: long non-coding RNA, 275 nt
Organism: Canis lupus familiaris (dog)
Lineage: Eukaryota; Metazoa; Chordata; Mammalia; Carnivora; Canidae
Exons: 3
Source: RefSeq, a predicted model, not a curated record